AAACGGUUACGGUUAAAUACGGU
RNAcentral lists this non-coding RNA (23 nucleotides) under Arabidopsis thaliana (thale cress). The record is from RNAcentral. Lineage: Eukaryota; Viridiplantae; Streptophyta; Magnoliopsida; Brassicales; Brassicaceae.